CCUGAGGAAGAUGUGCCCAGAUGGGUCUGGGCAUGUGCAACAACUCAUGCAUAAGCAUCUCUGGGCAUAAAGAGGACUGAAGUUCCACUCAGUGUCAGACUUGCUCUGCUUACACGUGUGGUCUUGUACCAGGAAGGAAAGGAGCAGAAUGAGGAAUUUUGAAGAACUGGCUCAUGGUGGCUGGCUUCAGUACUACUAGAGUGAGUAAUGAAGACCCCCUCCCUUUGCCCCUGUUAAAACCCUAGGUUUCCUGCACUGACCUCCCUGUUUGCCUACUGCAGGCCGGGGGCCCAUACUUCUCUGUGGAGGUGGCUUGCACCAGGAAUUUUGUUUUACCAAGCACUAUUGAAAAUAUCUUCCUAAACUGAAAGUUCCAUCCCAUGAGGGAUUCCACUGCCUUAGCCAUUGUGAGCUGAGAGUGCUUAGCACCUUGCAAGAUCAGGUUACUCUCCACAGAAGUUGUGUCACACCUCCAUCAAAAUCCUGGUGCUCAGCUUGAAGAGAAGCAUAAAAUCAGCAACACCAUUGGAACAGAGAUAAGUGCAAAUGAAUUGUAAGUACGGGAGAAGAGGAAAAGGGUUUGUGUGGUAAACACAUGAUGGCGCUCUCUCUCAGGCACGCACACACACGCGCGCACACACACACACACACACACACACACGCGCGCGCGCGCGCACACACACACACACACACACACACACACACACACACACUCACUCACUCACUCACUCACUCACUCACUCACUCACUCCACAGUAUCCUGAGAGCCCAGCCAGGAUGCAGCAAACUGGCAGCCUAGAAUUACUGCAGAGCACCUCAUUCCACCUGCCCACAUUUUACCGCUCCCAUCGUUCCUCCUCUUUUGCCCCAACCACCCAUAUGCAUGGAGGUUGCAGACCUGGCUUUCUCUUCUCCUCUCCUUCUUCUCAUCCUCUCCUCUCCUCAUUAAUUCACUUGCUUCCUAAUGCCCUUCUAGGUUCCACAGGGAGCUGGACCAGCCCAGGAGGACAGUUCAUCCUCACUCCAUCCAAAGAUGCUUUGGGAGUUUCUGCUGGCUGUUUCUAUCUUCAAAGUCCCGUUAGUGCAGAAGAGGCCUUCAGCUCCUCCAUGUUCAACCCCCACCUCAUCAGUGCUGCACUGAAUUUAAAUUGCUGCUGUGAAGCUGGCUCAAAGUGA
RNAcentral lists this long non-coding RNA (1176 nucleotides) under Struthio camelus australis. Its description in RNAcentral is "lncRNA (ENSSCUG00000007485.1)". Lineage: Eukaryota; Metazoa; Chordata; Aves; Struthioniformes; Struthionidae. The record is from RNAcentral.